Molecule: long non-coding RNA, 1296 nt
Organism: Capsicum annuum
Lineage: Eukaryota; Viridiplantae; Streptophyta; Magnoliopsida; Solanales; Solanaceae
Exons: 3
Source: RefSeq, a predicted model, not a curated record
GGACACCUAGCAUCUCAAAAGUUUGUCCCUAUCUCCUCUCUCCACUCAUCAUUUCAUUUCCAUCACAAUUUUCACAAACUUCUCUCUCCUUCUAGGUUAAAAGUUUCAUCUAAUUGCUCUUAAAAUUUUCUUUCUACUUCUAUUCUAAAUACAUCUAUCUUUGAGUAGAUGAAGACUGUUGUAGCUGUUGGGUUUUCUAGAGAAGCAAUUUGGUGGAUUUUGUUAGUGAUUGAAGUGACGGGAGCUGUAAUAACUUCCCGAAUCCCGAAUCCUAAAGAAAAUCAACUCUAUUGUUGGAAUGUAACUUCACCUCAGGACGAAGUUCAAAGCCCAUGAUAGUUCAUAAUAAGAGCUUUGGUUGAGUUGUGGUUAGAUUUCAGCGAUGGAGUUGAAGGGGAUGGGAAAAAUCGCAGGAUACAAUGAAUCUUGUGCUUGGAUGGAUGACACUUCAGCUUUAUUGAUGAAUAGAACAGCAACGACGACCCCCUUUUCGCUAGAGCCGUCCAAAAAUCUAUUGAUUCCCAAUUUUGGUUUAAUAACUUUUACGAGCAGCAAAUGUUGUUGGGUUCUACGUAGCUAUACAUUUUUUCCUUCCUUUUAAGGUUAUUCUCCUCCAAUUCCAUUUCAUUGGCUCACUGUGGGGAUGGUUUCGAUGAAUUCUUUGAGCUUCAGCAGAUGGGCAAACAAAAGCAGUGCCUCUAAAGCUAGGGAGCUAGGGGUAAAGCUACGUACACACCACUCUACCUAAAUCCCACUUGUGGAAUUACGAAUAGAUAGAUGAUCUGUUAGUCCUAUAAUCAGAAAGUUGCUUCUCUGCUUAAUGGAAUGCUUCAUCGAAAAUAUAGUAUAAGAUGUUAUGUUAAACAUAGUAUAAGAUGUUAAAUUGUAUUAAGCAAUUAUACACCAUAAAAAUACCAUACAAAUAAAAAAUUGAAAAAAAAUGGUUAGGGACGCAGAGCAUGGAGGGAGGAGAGGGAAAAGGGAGUGUUGUGUUUGUUAAGUGGGAUUAGGGUUAUUUAAUGAAAAAAUAGGUUUUAAAAUUCUGGACCAAUUUUUCAUUUUUGGGGAAGAUUUUGGAUGGAUAUAAAUGGGAAGAAAUUUUGGGGUUUGUGUGGUGUCUGAUUUUUUUUUUUUUUUUGGCCAAUUGGCUUUUGCUUUCCUUUACCUUUUCUAUUUUCGUAAAAUUGUUUUCCUUUUCCUAAUAUAGUAAAAUGCAUAUUUUUUUUCUUUCUUUUUUUUCACAAAUGCUAUUAAUUUUAUGUAAUUACCUAAUAUAAAAAUUGUACCUUUUUAAAA